Molecule: ribosomal RNA, 455 nt
Filed under: uncultured Pelotomaculum sp.
Lineage: Bacteria; Bacillati; Bacillota; Clostridia; Eubacteriales; Desulfotomaculaceae
Description: bacterial SSU rRNA
Rfam family: Bacterial small subunit ribosomal RNA
Source: RNAcentral
UACUCCUACGGGAGGCAGCAGUGGGGAAUAUUGCGCAAUGGGGGAAACCCUGACGCAGCGAACUACGUGCCAGCAGCCGCGGUAAAACGUAGGGGGCGAGCGUUGUCCGGAAUUACUGGGCGUAAAGGGCGCGUAGGCGGUUUCUUAAGUCAGAGGUGAAAACUACCGGCUUAACCGGUAGCCUGCCUUUGAAACUGGGGAACUUGAGGGCAGGAGAGGGGAGUGGAAUUCCCAGUGUAGCGGUGAAAUGCGUAGAUAUUGGGAGGAACACCAGUGGCGAAGGCGGCUCUCUGGCCUGUUUCUGACGCUGAGGCGCGAAAGCGUGGGGAGCAAACGGGAUUAGAUACCCCGGUAGUCCACGCCGUAAACGAUGGGUGCUAGGUGUAGGAGGUAUCGACCCCUUCUGUGCCGUAGUUAACACGGGUAGCAAACAGGAUUAGAUACCCUGGUAGUCA